RNAcentral lists this ribosomal RNA (909 nucleotides) under Lactobacillus delbrueckii subsp. bulgaricus. RNAcentral's name for it is "partial 23S ribosomal RNA". It matches the Rfam family "Bacterial large subunit ribosomal RNA", at positions 1510 to 2426 of the family's 2925-position model. The record is from RNAcentral. Lineage: Bacteria; Bacillati; Bacillota; Bacilli; Lactobacillales; Lactobacillaceae.
GUUCAAGCGUCAAGUCUGAGAGCGAGUCAAAUGCUUGCUCUCAUAAGGACAAGGCGUGAUGAGGAGCGAAAUUAAAGUAGCGAAGGCUGCGACGUCACACUGCCGAGAAAAGCUUCUAGCCAGAGACGGUGCACCCGUACCGCAAACCGACACAGGUAGUCGAGGAGAGUAUCCUCAGGUGAGCGAGAGAACUCUCGUUAAGGAACUCGGCAAAAUGGCCCCGUAACUUCGGGAGAAGGGGCGCUGGUCGCAAGAUCAGCCGCAGUGAAAAGGCCCAAGCAACUGUUUAUCAAAAACACAGGCAUCUGCAAAAUCGUAAGAUGAAGUAUAGGUGCUGACACCUGCCCGGUGCUGGAAGGUUAAGAGGAGAGCUUAGCGCAAGCGAAGGUUUGAAUUGAAGCCCCAGUAAACGGCGGCCGUAACUAUAACGGUCCUAAGGUAGCGAAAUUCCUUGUCGGGUAAGUUCCGACCUGCACGAAAGGUGUAAUGAUUUGGGCACUGUCUCAACGAGAGACUCGGUGAAAUUAUAAUACCCGUGAAGAUGCGGGUUACCCGCGACAGGACGGAAAGACCCCAUGGAGCUUUACUGCAGUUUAAUAUUGGGUAUCUGUCAAGCAUGUACAGGAUAGGUAGGAGCCGGAGAAGAUAGGACGCCAGUCUUAUCUGAGGCGCUGUUGGGAUACUACCCUUGCUUGACGGAUGCUCUAACUCAGGCCUGUGAUCCAGGCCGAGGACAGUGUUUGACGGGCAGUUUGACUGGGGCGGUCGCCUCCUAAAGUGUAACGGAGGCGCCCAAAGGUUCCCUCAGAAUGGUUGGAAAUCAUUCGCAGAGUGUAAAGGUAAAAGGGAGCUUGACUGCGAGAGAGACAACUCGAGCAGGUACGAAAGUAGGGCUUAGUGAUCUGGUGG